UACGAAGGGGGCUAGCGUUGCUCGGAAUCACUGGGCGUAAAGGGCGCGUAGGCGGCCGAUCAAGUCGGGGGUGAAAUCCCAGGGCUCAACCCUGGAAUUGCCUUCGAUACUGUUUGGCUUGAGUCUGGUAGAGGUUGGUGGAACUGCGAGUGUAGAGGUGAAAUUCGUAGAUAUUCGCAAGAACACCAGUGGCGAAGGCGGCUCACUGGUCCGGAACUGACGCUGAGGCACGACAGCGUGGGGAGCAAACAGG
RNAcentral lists this ribosomal RNA (253 nucleotides) under uncultured bacterium. RNAcentral's name for it is "partial 16S ribosomal RNA". It matches the Rfam family "Bacterial small subunit ribosomal RNA", at positions 524 to 776 of the family's 1533-position model. The record is from RNAcentral.